Xenopus tropicalis (tropical clawed frog) is the source of this 778-nucleotide long non-coding RNA. RefSeq lists it as uncharacterized. NCBI's taxonomy places the organism in Eukaryota, Metazoa, Chordata, Amphibia, Anura, Pipidae. The record is from RefSeq and is a predicted model, not a curated record. The transcript is spliced from 3 exons.
CCAGCAUCUUGUGCCAACAGUCUCCUUCCAGAAUAUCACCCAGGAUACCAGGAGAGAGUGUCGAUUACAGCAAAUUCCAAGCAAAACCUCACUAUGAGCUGCGCAGACCAUAAGGACUACCAUUUGACCCCUGUUGUCUCUUUGACACGUACGUCGGGGCUGAUAAGACCAUUUCUAAAAAGGAGCUCUUGGAAGAUCCCCUGAGAUUUCUCUAUAAAUUAUUCUUAUCAGGUUCUGCGAGAAUACGUAAAUGCAUUUUUAUUUGAUUCCCAAGAAAUAAAUGGAUGUUUAAGUCUAUCAUAGAUAAAGGUAAUGGAAUGGAAAUCAAUCAAAUGAAGUCCCGUCUCAUAUAAGGAAAGCCAGGGUUGGACUGGGCUGGCAAGGCACCGGAAAAAACCCAAUGGGCCCCACCGACCCAGACCCGAUCCUUAAUGGAGUUCUGAUUCUUUUUGACUAAACGCGAAGGAUUUCAACAAAUCUAUAUUGUGUAUAAAGUGUUGGAAAACAUGAAGGAGAAACAUGGAUUGUUAUAUGACUUGGCUCUUCCGUGUCUGAAAACUUCGUUGCUGCCGAUUUCUUCAAAAAGUAUUAUGUUGCUGGAAUCUUGAGACUUCUGUAUAAAAGCCUGAGAGAACUGGAUCAGCAAUGAACCGUGAGCUGAAGAAUAUUCCAUGUUUCAGAGUUUGCUGUGGAGGAGGGGAAACUGUAGUUCAUUAUAAGUUUAAAGAACUAUGUAGUGUCAGAAUGGUCUCUGUAAAUACAGCCAUAAACACUCACA